RNAcentral lists this long non-coding RNA (2048 nucleotides) under Citrus maxima (pomelo). RNAcentral's name for it is "long non-coding RNA (CMAX_LNC002880)". Lineage: Eukaryota; Viridiplantae; Streptophyta; Magnoliopsida; Sapindales; Rutaceae. The record is from RNAcentral.
CGUUCACUUAUGCCCGUGUCUCCGUCUGUAUUGACAAUUUAUUAGAAAGAGACCUAAAAGCCAACCAUUACUAGACACAUUUUAAUGGAUUGAAUUUAGUGUUACAUGUGAUUUCUUUUUUAUUUAUUUAUCUUCCUGUACAAGGUUUAGAUCGAUUGCUUUUGGAUUUGCUUUGCAAAAUUAUCCAAAGUGAGUGGCUAGUUCGUUAGGAUGGGCAAGCAUGGAGUCGAUUCUCGUUUCUUUGAACUUGAGGAGGGAGCAUUUAAGGGCAGAUUCCCAAGUAGUUUGGUUAGGCCAUAGUGAUUGCAUAUACUGGUGAAUAAGUACUUAAGAUUAUUCAUCUUUAAGGUUUUACCUAUCUCCAAAUUCACGUAGCUCAACUCAAUAUCCGAUGUAGAAUAAAUAGUUAAAUGUAAAAUGCAAGAUUUCCUAAAAUACAAUAUUAAACUUCUAAAGCGGUAUUUUAAAUUUUUUUAUUACUAAUACUGAUGUAAAAUAUUCAGUUUGACUCAAAAAAAUCGAUUGGAUUGAAAAUUAAAAACCGAUCCAGUGUAAAUUUUCCUCAUCCUCAAAUCUUAUCUCUAUCCUUAUCCUUUUUCCCUCAAGAAUAUAAAACCCAUAAGCUGAGCCCAACUGUCUCUCACUAACAGCCUGUCAGCCGUCAGCUUGCCAUCAUUUCAGUCUUGCCACCUCCUCCAAUUAAUCGGCGAUGUCGAUUUGACUCAUUGACGUCACAGCUUUGCAAUUGAUGGUAAGUGGUAAAUUUAGCUCUUCUCAAUUUCAGAGUGUAGCAUUUCUUAAUUUUUUUUGAAUCUAUUAGUUUUAUGGUGAUUGAAUAUUUGAAGUGAUAAACUGCUGUUAACGACUUAAUUUUUUUUUAACACAAUUAAUGACUUAAUGAUACGGUUACUUUUACGGUCAUUCAAGCCAGGGUUGUGAAUCAAUUUAAGGACCACAGUUUGGUGUCAUGAGUUCUGAUAAAUGAUGUUAAUUCAACUAAUUAUUUGAUGACCAAUGAGCAUUUGGUCCAAUAAGAGAAGUCUUAUAUUUAUAAUACUGAGUGUAAGGGUUUGGAUUUCUAUAAGAAUUUUAUGAGGGUUAAUUUCAGUACUCCCUCAAUUAUCAAUAUAAUUGAGUGGAGACAGUCUCUUUUUUAUGAAAUAUGAGUGAAGUAGGUAUUCUUCGAAUAUUAGAGAAGGUUUAAAAUAUCUGGACAAGUAUUUCAGUAUGUCAAUGUAUAGUUUAAAAUAUUUAGGUAAGUACUUUGCUACGUCAAUGUAUGACAUAGUCCCAAUUAUAUAGUAUGAUUAUAAAUAUUAAUUGUAAUAUCUGAUGUAAUAUCAGUAACAUCUGUAUAUAAUAAAUUUUAAAAAAAAACUAAUUAUUUGAUGUAAAAAUAAUAAUACUAUAGAAAAAAAAGUUGAUUGUACAUGAAUGUUUUUGUCGUGAUUUCAGAUGUGUGAUCCGGAUGGUUCAAGAGUUCGUGAGCUGUUUGCAGUUGAGGCUUACAAUUUGGAGUAACAGUUGGGGGAAAAGAAUGAAUUAUAUUCUUUUGGUGUUUUAGAAAGUAAUAGUUGAGUGAGAAGAAUAAAUUAGAUGUAUUCUUUUUAUGCUUAGGUUCGUCAUUUGUUUACAUCUGUUACCUGUAUCCAGAAAAAUAAAUGCACAUUUUGUCAACCUGUACAUGACAAUCACGACACCCUGGCAAACUCAAUUGGUUUUUUUUUUUUCUUUUUAAUUUCAUCAUUUUCUGUCUGUUGAUGGUUAUUUUGGUGGGGCCUAAUUGCUGCUAAUGUAACUAUUGCUGCUUGUGUUGAGAGCUGAUGGAGAAUUGGAGGGGGACUUAAUUUAUUAUGUUAUCAUUCAGUAAAGUAAGUGUUGCUGCCCGUUUAUUUGCUUGGAUUUUGACAUAUGGAAAUUGGAUAUGGUUUAAGCUUGUUAUUUUUCAUUGUUGUACUGAAUUGAAAUUGUAUUUAAUUGAGUUUGGAGACUAUCAUUGCAAACCCGACCCAAUUUUCAGCACGACUUGAAUUUUUACAUGAAAUUAC